GGCCCUCAGUGACGCCUUCCCUUUCCCAGCUCCCCCAGCUCUUGGCCUCCCCGCUCUCUUCGGGGGCGGCCGCAGACAGGCCCGCCAUCUUGGAAGGCCUUUCCACUCGAGUUCUUGCUAGGGAAAUGUCUGUCGCUCGAGAUGUUGGCGUACCAAGUGGUGACUUCUGCCCCUUCCCCUACUUUCUUCGACUAAGCCAGACCAGUAAGGCCGUGUGCGCAACGUGCUUCAGGAUCCCUCAGGGAAAGCGGCCAACGUGGCGCUCCCCCGCCCCCUCCUUCCCCGCAGGGGUGGCCGCCAUGUUUCCUGGAAACAAAAUGGCGGCACGUGGCCCUGCAUUCGGUACCAACGAGAAAUUGGGGUCGCCGGAAAACUCUAACAUGAGCACCCCCCCCUCCUCGGGGCCUUCCCUGCGCCGGGACUCUUAAGACCACACCGGGAAGCUCGCGGGCGAAUUUUUAACGCGUUUCUCUCCCUUUCAUUUGAAGUGGGAACACGAAUAAGUAAAAUAAAAAGACACUUAAACCUAGAGAGAGGAAAUGACUGAUUCAAGGUCACACAGUGUCCAGGAUGGAAUCCAGAUCUUCUGAUUUCUUUACUGACCUACAGUAUCUUGUGGACAUGUGAAUGAAUUCCACACAACUCGUUUUAUAGAUGAAGCCACGGAGAUAUGGAAGUCACUGCCCCACCCUUGGAGCCUUACACAUGACUCUUCUCCCACUUGAGUGACACAGGUCUUGUAACACGGUGGUUAAGAAUGUGACUUUGGAGCCAGCCUGCUGGGUUCUGAAUUCUGACUCAGCUGUUUACUAACUAUGUGACCUUGGAUAAAGGAAACUGAGGCCUAGAGCGGUCAAAUACUUUGAGAUCUCUGCAGGCCACUGCUCUUCUGGCUACGCACUGACUCUGUAUCUCUUGCUGUUGAAGUUGUUGGCUGUCCACCUUCACCAAGGCCAUCAGCUUCUGGCAGUGUGGGAGCUGAGCUGCUGGAAUGCUUUUUCUAACAGCAGGCUGUAGCCUUUCCUCCAUCCUUGCCCACUUCACACCACAAAGCAGGCACUCUUCUCAGGAGGCUACUGGCUGUAGCCUGACCGUUUCACCUGGUUGCUUCUCCAAUUUCCCCAAACCCCUCUUUAUUUUUCCUUUCCUACUCCUUUUUUAUUUUUCUUUGCCAUGCAAUAUCAGAGAAGUGUGGUGAUAAGGUGGGGAGGAUUGUCCAGCUUCCUCUGGCAGUUGUUUUUAUGCUUUCUACUUCUGGUCUUCUGUACCUUCUAGAAUUCCUGUCAGUAGACAACUCAAGUUUUGUGUUUUUCUUUGGAGCUUUCAGGAUCUCACACAUAGCCCAUAGUUUAUAGCUGUGAGCAGAGAAGGGGUGGUGUCAUGGCAGCACUGGCUUUGAGGGCACCAAUCGUCAUGUUAUUGAUGAACUCAACCCACCACAGUGGCUCUCUCCCUUGCUGAUGGAGUUUCGAUGUGUUGUCCCCCCAAAUCUCAUGUGGAAGUCUGAUCCCCAGUGUGGCAGUGUUGGAAACUGAUUGAGUCAUGGGGACAGGUCCCUCAUGAAUGGAUUAAUGCUCUCCUUGGGGGAGAGGGGAUUAAUGAGUGAGUUCUCAUUCUAUUAGUUCCCGCGAGAGCUCGUUGCUUAAAGGACCCUGGCACCUCCUCGCUCUCUCUUGCUUCCUCUCACUAUGUGAUCUGCUUGUACCCGCCAGCGGCCUGCCGCUUUCCGCUAUGAGUAGAAGCAGCCUGAGGCCUGUGCCAGAUGCAGCUGUCCCAGAAUCGUAAGCCAAAUAAACCUCCGUUCUUUAUAAAUUA
Long non-coding RNA from Cynocephalus volans (Philippine flying lemur), 1815 nucleotides. RefSeq lists it as uncharacterized. The record is from RefSeq and is a predicted model, not a curated record. NCBI's taxonomy places the organism in Eukaryota, Metazoa, Chordata, Mammalia, Dermoptera, Cynocephalidae. The transcript is spliced from 5 exons.